AUGGGGGCAAAAAUUGACCGGUCUGUGAAUGAUGGUGGAGGUCCAAUUUUUUUUAAAAUUAAUGGUCAGGUUUGUCAUCGUAUAGGCUCACUACUUCCAAAUCAGGGUGAUUCCCCCAAAUAUGCAGAGUUAUACAUACAUGACAGAGAAAAUGAGGUUAACAACAGAAUUCAGGCCCUAAACCACCACAAUGAAACCAGCACUGGGUUAGACAAGGAGAUUGUUAAGGGUCUUAUGAAGAUGCUUGAUGCAAACAAUUCUUUGGUGAAGAAAUUCCGUAUGGCUAGCGACAUACUGAAAAAUAAUAAACAUGAGGUAAUUUCAAUAAGGCUUAUAGCUCCUGGUGAAAAUGAUGGCGCUCAAUUUAAUUUGCCUGCAACAGAUGAAUUGGCGGCUUUAGUUUAUGGUGAGUUCACGUUGGAAGCGCCGUGUAGAGACCUGAUUAUACGCAGUAAAGCAGAUUGGCUUCAUCGUAUUUCCUCUUUAGAUACUACUUACAUGUCUUUGCAAUACCCUCUGCUGUUCCCAUAUGGUGAACGUGGCUUUCAGCUCGGUGUUCGCUAUAUUGGUACUGAUGUUAAUGACACGAGUAAGAGAGUUAAAAUGACGAUGCAAGACUUCUAUUGCUUCUGUUCACAUUAUAAACCAGACCAGCAUAAUCCAUACCUAUGUUGUGGCCUGUUGUCGUCACAGGCUGCUGUUGAUUUCCGGGCUUGCAUUGAUGAAUGCCGGCUCAGUUUUAUUCUUAAAUGUAAUGACGAGAUGCGGGCUGAAAAUCUUCAGGGCAUUGUCGACGCGGUAGGCCAGGGUAUGGUUGGUGGCUCAGAGGUUGGGAAGAAGAAUAUUAUGCCUUCGGCUUACACUGGUGGUCGUCGAUACAUGUAUGAAAAUUUCCAAGAUGCUAUUGCUGUCUCGCGGGUUCAUGGGUCGCCGGAUGUCUUCACAACUUUCACGUGUAACCCAAAGUGGGAAGAAAUCCUUGAUUCUGUUGAGCCUGGCCAAACAGCGACAUAUAGGGCUGACAUUGCUGUUAGGGUGUACCACAUGAAACUUGCUCAGUAUCUUCAUCGGAUUAAGAAAGGAAAUGCCUUUGGUCCUGUUGUUGCUGGUACUGCCCCUUGCAGGCCUCUUUCCAUUUCCUUUUCCUUCUUCUAUGGCUUCCUUAUAUUUAUUGUCGCUUUUUCCUCCUGUUUUCAGUCCUGCACACUAUUGAGUUUCAGAAGAGGGGGUUGCCGCACGCGCACAUCCUUGUUUGGCAAAAGAAGGAGGACGAUAGGGUUGUAA
RNAcentral lists this ribosomal RNA (1284 nucleotides) under Triticum aestivum (bread wheat). Its description in RNAcentral is "partial small subunit ribosomal RNA". The record is from RNAcentral. Lineage: Eukaryota; Viridiplantae; Streptophyta; Magnoliopsida; Poales; Poaceae.